AUUGAACGCUGGCGGCAGGCCUAACACAUGCAAGUCGAGCGAGCGGCGGACGGGUGAGUAAUGUCUGGGAAACUGCCUGAUGGAGGGGGAUAACUCCUGGAAACGGUAGCUAAUACCGCAUACCCUCAGAUGUGCCCAGAUGGGAUUAGCUCGUAGGUGGGGUAACGGCUCACCUAGGCGACGAUCCCUAGCUGGUCUGAGAGGAUGACCAGCCAAACUGGAACUGAGAAACGGUCCAGACGCCUACGGGAGGCAGCAGUGGGGAAUAUUGCACAAUGGGCGCAAGCCUGAUGCAGCCAUGCCGCGUGUGUGAAGAAGGCCUUCGGGUUGUAAAGUACUUUCAGCGGGGAGGCGUUACCCGCAGAAGAAGCACCGGCUAACUCCGUGCCAGCAGCCGCGGUAAUAC
Molecule: ribosomal RNA, 406 nt
Filed under: uncultured bacterium
Lineage: Bacteria
Description: partial 16S ribosomal RNA
Rfam family: Bacterial small subunit ribosomal RNA
Source: RNAcentral